RNAcentral lists this transfer RNA (76 nucleotides) under Bacillota bacterium. RNAcentral's name for it is "Firmicutes bacterium (anaerobic digester metagenome) tRNA-Thr". It matches the Rfam family "tRNA". Rfam says of the family: Transfer RNA (tRNA) molecules are approximately 80 nucleotides in length. Their secondary structure includes four short double-helical elements and three loops (D, anti-codon, and T loops). Further hydrogen bonds mediate the characteristic L-shaped molecular structure. tRNAs have two regions of fundamental functional importance: the anti-codon, which is responsible for specific mRNA codon recognition, and the 3' end, to which the tRNAs corresponding amino acid is attached (by aminoacyl-tRNA synthetases). tRNAs cope with the degeneracy of the genetic code in two manners: having more than one tRNA (with a specific anti-codon) for a particular amino acid; and 'wobble' base-pairing, i.e. permitting non-standard base-pairing at the 3rd anti-codon position. The record is from RNAcentral. Lineage: Bacteria; Bacillati; Bacillota.
GCCCUCAUAGCUCAGUAGGUAGAGCGCAUCCAUGGUAAGGAUGAGGUCAGCAGUUCGAGCCUGCUUGAGGGCUCCA